Molecule: ribosomal RNA, 253 nt
Filed under: uncultured bacterium
Lineage: Bacteria
Description: partial 16S ribosomal RNA
Rfam family: Bacterial small subunit ribosomal RNA
Source: RNAcentral
UACGUAGGGUGCAAGCGUUGUCCGGAAUUAUUGGGCGUAAAGAGCUCGUAGGCGGUCUGUCGCGUCUGCUGUGAAAACUCGGGGCUUAACCCCGGGUCUGCAGUGGAUACGGGCAGACUAGAGUCAGGUAGGGGAGAACGGAAUUCCUGGUGUAGCGGUGAAAUGCGCAGAUAUCAGGAAGAACACCCGUGGCGAAGGCGGCUCACUGGACCGGAACUGACGCUGAGGCGCGAAAGCUAGGGGAGCAAACGGG